AUUGAACGCUGGCGGCAGGCCUAACACAUGCAAGUCGAACGGUAACAGGAAACAGCUUGCUGUUUCGCUGACGAGUGGCGGACGGGUGAGUAAUGUCUGGGAAACUGCCUGAUGGAGGGGGAUAACUACUGGAAACGGUAGCUAAUACCGCAUAACGUCGCAAGACCAAAGAGGGGGACCCUCGGGCCUCUUGCCAUCGGAUGUGCCCAGAUGGGAUUAGCUUGUUGGUGGGGUAACGGCUCACCAAGGCGACGAUCCCUAGCUGGUCUGAGAGGAUGACCAGCCACACUGGAACUGAGACACGGUCCAGACUCCUACGGGAGGCAGCAGAGGGGAAUAUUGCACAAUGGGCGCAAGCCUGAUGCAGCCAUGCCGCGUGUAUGAAGAAGGCCUUCGGGUUGUAAAGUACUUUCAGCGGGGAGGAAGGGAGUAAAGUUAAUACCUUUCCUCAUUGACGUUACCCGCAGAAGAAGCACCGGCUAACUACGUG
Molecule: ribosomal RNA, 490 nt
Filed under: uncultured bacterium
Lineage: Bacteria
Description: partial 16S ribosomal RNA
Rfam family: Bacterial small subunit ribosomal RNA
Source: RNAcentral